UGAGGAAUCUGUCGUAUCUUUCGAUAGCUUCGCAGCUAACAGGACUUUCUUUUGAUACGUCUCAAGGUAGCGCGUCUUUAAAAUCGGCACAGGAAAUCCUUUCAGCACGUGACCCUGUUAGCAGAGGAAACACCGUCCCCACUGACCUCAUCAGCAGUAAGUGGAAACCGACCUGUACAGCAGACAAUACAGUGAGCAAAAUCUCAUGCUGUGAGUGUAGACAAGGAGUUAUCUGCUUCCAAAACACCUGGAGAAAAUGAGGAGCUCCACAAGGAUCACAAAACUGUUUUAAACUCGCUUGUAUUUGCUCUAUUCCUGUUCUGUGAUGACAUAGUGAGACCAUCUUCCCUGUAUGUGUGUGUGUGUUUGCUGCUGCAGCCCAGCCUCUGCCUGCUGCAGCCCCACCAGCAGAGGUCUCACAGGAGGCAGCGGGGUUUAGGAAGCCUCAGUGUGACCCCCCGAAGCCCACCUGCCCACGAUGCGGCCUCACAGUCCCAGACCACAGUCUGCCCACUUCCCCCGCCGGCCUGAGCCGACUGCAGGGCUCCUGCUGCUCGUCGGUGCACGGCAGCAGCAGGAGGAGCAGGGGGAGCGUGCAGGGCUCACACCGGCCCACUGCUCCACCAGCUGACUGUUGUUUACACCUGCUGCUGGCGUGCCUGUCGUGCCAGUGCUCCGUGCUGCUCCUGGGUCUGUUGGAGGCCUGUUCCUCCUGCCUCCACACCCUGUGCUCCUCCUGCUGCAACGCCUGCGCCCGUUGCUGUUCGGCCAUCCAGGAGGUGCCCCUGGAGGAGCUCAACUGCCACGCCCACUGCCACUCGGUGAUGUUCGAGUCUUGCUGCGAGCCAACCGAGUGUCUGGAGUUUUGUCUGGAGUGCUGCGAGAUCUGCCAUCGCAGCUAGGAGGCAGCUGGACCACCAGGCCUGAGGACUAAUGUAGAAGACACUGAAACGUGGGAUUCAUUUCUUGUGACAGCUGCCAAACUCAACAACUACUUAUUCUCACUAAAACAAAAGAGGGAAGAUUUGACUUUAGUGCUUCACGCUUUUCUUCAGUAAAAGGGAUUUUAAGUGUGACCUAGAACAUUUUUCAAUAAGCAAAACAUUUUGGGAAAACUCACAUUUCUUAUGACUAUGAAUCCUGGAAGACUCCCAACAUCUCUAAGGCUCACGAAUGUUUGUUUAAUCUACACACCAACAGAAAUAUGUAGUUACGUGCUGUUGCUCUACGUAACUCCACACAUUUGUACACUUCUGUUUGCGUACAGAUUGAACAUUAAACAGAUACAGAGUGUGAAUUAUUGAGGUUUAGAUGCACUGAUAGGCCCAUUUCCAAACUUUGGACACAUCCAGGCUAGCUGUUUCCCACACUUCCAGUCUUUAUGCUAAGCUAAGCUAAGCUAAACUAAGCUAAGCUAAGCUAAUCACCUGCAUACUUACACUUAUUCCCUUUUUUGCAGAGAGUAAUAUGAUAAGGUUGAUACCACUCUCAUAUUGUCACGAGACAAUUAGCUCACAGGCUGGGAAACACAUCUGCAUAGCAGAACCUCUAGAGCUCAGCAAACUACAAGUACAAGGACCAAAGUGUAAAAACAACAUUCACAGAGGGUUAUUUAGUCCACUAUUACAUGACAUGGAGUCUUGUCGUGCCCACGAGGUCCACCUGUUUCCAGUCUUCAUGCUAAGACGGUGGUGUACAUCUUCGUAUCGAACUCUCUGCAACAUGAAGUGCGUUCUCAGAUCUUUGUAACCUCGCUGAGAACCUAAAGGAACAGAUACAUUAUGUAUCUCCUGGUUAAUUUUGUGUAAAAGAGAUUUGAUUUGAAAUAUUUAAAGAAAUGUGUCAAGGUCAUUUGUUCUGCUUGUUAAAGAUCUUGGCUGAAUAACAUUGAAGCCAGAGCUGGACUCAUUGAUACUCUGCUGCACAACCAAAUGGUGUUUUUUGAUUAACAAGCACAGAAACUUGCUGCACUCAUUUGUUUUAUUAUAUAAAAAAGACAUACAAUUAACAUAUGCACAGCCUCUUUGUGUGGCACUCGUCAAAAGGAUAAAACACAACAAUAGCUUAUUGUGCAUUUAAGAUACAGGUUUUAUUCUUCAGAAAUAAAGCUUUUUGUUUGUACAUCAAGUUGCAUUUAAUGAAUUUGACCCAGUAAGACCCGGAACGAGAGGCGGCGACCUCUCGGCUCAGUUGUAUGCGGGUUCUCAUGUUAUAAGAUUGCAGGUUUGACUUCUCCCCGCGCAGCUCUUUGCAGCUGAGGAACAGGGCGACAAAAAACUUGUCAGCUCUCUCUUGAAUCCCUUUUCAUAUUUGUCAUAUAAAGCACUUAGAACAUAAAAGGAUGCUUAUUCUCUCCACAUCUGCGAAGAUUGAAGUCGGCUCCUUUAAAGUCGUCGCGUGAGAUGACAGCAGAGAAGCAGAGCAAACAGCCAAAAAUAAAACAAAGCGGCGAUAAAGACAACGCUGUCAAUCUGUCCGGGCGAGCCAAGAGGCUCAUUUAAAUCAUGUUAGAGCGAGUAAAUCCAAUUUAAGUAUCUCUUUUGCCCACAACACAUUCGGAUUCUGCUAGUGACAAGAAACAGCGGUGACGUCCAAUUUAGAGCAUGGCGAGCACACACCAACAAAUAAACACUCAGGUUUGUUCCACUUGUCCCCCUCAAUUUGUUCUACCCUUUACCCGCAGCUGGUGUCUACCUCCACACAUCACAAACAGCUGAUAUUAGUGAAUUCAGAAUCCUCAUAUGUUGCAGACACACAGUAAUACAUUGUUGUACGAGGGAUGUAUGUAUUUGCCUUUGUGACAGAAGCCUCGCUUCGUCGAACCACAUGACCAAACUGUCUUGUUCGUAGAUGAAUCAUUGAAGUCGUUCAAGAAGAGAAGAACAAACUGCUUCUCUGUCUUUUAUGGGUCAGAAAAUCUUCAAUAUAUCUUUAAUCAUAAGAUAAUAAGAGUAAUCAUCACAUUGGGCUUGGAGAAAUUGUGAAUUAAAAAAUGAAUUAGAUUAAUUAAUAUUCUAUAAUAA
Cottoperca gobio is the source of this 3023-nucleotide long non-coding RNA. Ensembl annotates it as myoD family inhibitor domain-containing protein-like. Lineage: Eukaryota; Metazoa; Chordata; Actinopteri; Perciformes; Bovichtidae. The record is from Ensembl.